UACGUAGGGUGCAAGCGUUUGUCCGGAAUUAUUGGGCGUAAAGAGCUCGUAGGCGGUUUGUUGCGUCGGCUGUGAAAUCCCGAGGCUCAACCUCGGGUCUGCAGUCGAUACGAGCAAACUAGAGUGUUGCAGGGGAGACUGGAAUUCCUGGUGUAGCGGUGAAAUGCGCAGAUAUCAGGAGGAACACCGAUGGCGAAGGCAGGUCUCUGGGCCACUACUGACGCUGAGAAGCGAAAGCAUGGGGAGCGAACAGG
This 254-nucleotide ribosomal RNA is filed under the name uncultured bacterium. RNAcentral's name for it is "partial 16S ribosomal RNA". It matches the Rfam family "Bacterial small subunit ribosomal RNA", at positions 524 to 776 of the family's 1533-position model. The record is from RNAcentral.